CCUACGGGAGGCAGCAGUGAGGAAUAUUGGUCAAUGGCCGGAAGGCUGAACCAGCCAAGUCGCGUGAGGGACGACUGCCCUAUGGGUUGUAAACCUCUUUUAUAAGGGAAGAAUAAAUGCUACGUGUAGCAUGAUGCCUGUACCUUAUGAAUAAGCAUCGGCUAACUCCGUGCCAGCAGCCGCGGUAAUACGGAGGAUGCGAGCGUUAUCCGGAUUUAUUGGGUUUAAAGGGUGCGUAGGCGGAAUGCCAAGUCAGCGGUAAAAUCGCGGGGCUCAACCUCGCUCCGCCGUUGAAACUGGCGUUCUUGAGUGGGCGAGAAGUAUGCGGAAUGCGUGGUGUAGCGGUGAAAUGCAUAGAUAUCACGCAGAACUCCGAUUGCGAAGGCAGCAUACCGGCGCCCAACUGACGCUGAAGCACGAAAGCGUGGGUAUCGAACAGGAUUAGAUACCCCGGUAGUC
RNAcentral lists this ribosomal RNA (459 nucleotides) under uncultured bacterium. RNAcentral describes it as "partial 16S ribosomal RNA". It matches the Rfam family "Bacterial small subunit ribosomal RNA", at positions 338 to 795 of the family's 1533-position model. The record is from RNAcentral.